AUCCGGGGGGUGCAAGCGUUAAUCGGAAUUACUGGGCGUAAAGCGCGCGUAGGCGGUUUGCUCAGUCGGAUGUGAAAGCCCAGGGCUCAACCUUGGAACUGCAUACGAUACUGGCAAACUAGAGUGUGAGAGAGGAUAGUGGAAUUUCCGGUGUAGCGGUGAAAUGCGUAGAUAUCGGAAGGAACAUCAGUGGCGAAGGCGACUGUCUGGCUCAACACUGACGCUGAGGUGCGAAAGCGUGGGUAGCAAACAGGAUUAGAUACCCUAGUAGUCC
This 274-nucleotide ribosomal RNA is filed under the name uncultured bacterium. RNAcentral describes it as "partial 16S ribosomal RNA". It matches the Rfam family "Bacterial small subunit ribosomal RNA", at positions 523 to 796 of the family's 1533-position model. The record is from RNAcentral.